GGGUUUGAUUAUGGCUCAGAUUGAACGCUGGCGGGAUGCUUUACAUGCAAGUCGAACGGCAGCUUUAAAGGCUUCGGUCUGAGUGGCGAGUGGCGAACAGGUGAGUAAUGUAUCGGAACGUGCCUAGUAGCGGGGGAUAACUACGCGAAAGCGUAGCUAACCUGCAUACGCCCUUCGGGGAAAGCAGGGGACCUUCGGGCCUCGCACUAUUGAAGGCGGCCGAUAUCAGUUAGCUAGUUAUUGGGGUAACGGCUCACCAAGGCGACGAUCAAUAACUGGUUUGAGAGGACGACCAGCGGCCACACUGGGACUGAAGACACGGCCCAGACUCCUACGGAGGGCAGUGAGGGGAAUUUUGGACAAUGGGGGAAACCCUGAUCCAGCCAUCCCGCGUGUGCGAUGAAGGCCUUCGGGUUGUGCGAGCACUUUUGGCAGGAAAAGAAACGGCGCAGGGAUAAUACCCGUGCAGCUGACCAGUACCUGCAGAAUAAGCACGCCGGUAACUACGUGCCAGCAGCCGCGGUAAUACGUAGGGUGCAAGCGUUAAUCGGAAUUACUGGGCGUAAAGCGUGCGCAGGCUGGUUCGGAAAGAAAGUGAAAUCCCAGAGCUUAACUUUGGAACUGCAUUUUUAACUACCGAGCUUCUGAUGUGUCAGAGGGAGGUGGAAUUCACGUGUAGCAGUGAAAUGCGUAAAGAUAUGCGGAGGAACACCGAUGGCGAAGGCAACCUCCUGGGGAUACUGACGCUCAUGCGCAGCAUUGGGAGCAAGCAGGAUUAGAUACCCUGGUAGUCCACGCCUAAACGAUGUCAACUAGCUCCACCAGGCCUUCGGGCCUUGGUAGCGCAACUAACGCGUGAAGUUGACCGCCUGGGAGAGUACGGUCGCAAGAUUAAAACUCAAAGGAAUUGACGGGACCGCACAAGCGGUGGAUGAUGUGGAUUAAUUCGAUGCAACGCGAAAAACCUUACCUACCCUUGACAUGUCUGGAAUCCCGAGAGGUGGGAGUGCUCGCAAAGACGGAACACAGGUGCUGCAUGGCUGUCGUCGGGCUGGUGUCGUGAGAUGUUGGGUUAAGUCCCGCAACAGGCGCAACCCUUGUCAUUAGUUGCUACGAAAGGGCACUCUAAUGAGACUGGUGACAAACCUGGAGGAAGGUGAGGAUGACGUCAAGUCCUCAUGGCUAUAUGGUGAGGGCUUCACGUCAUACAAUGGUCGGGACAGAGGGUCGCCAACCCGCGAGAGGCCAAUCGAAACGAUGUAGUCAGAAUCGCAGUCUGCAACUCGACUGCGUGAAGUCUGGAAUCUUUAGUAAUCGCGGAUCAGCAUGUCGCGGUGAAUACGUUCAGGUCUUGUACACCGCCCGUCACACCAUGGGUAGGUUUUACCAGAAGUAGUUAGCCUAACCGUAAGGAGGGCGAUUGCCACGGUACAGGAUUCAUGACUGGGGUGAAGUCGUAACAAGGU
RNAcentral lists this ribosomal RNA (1466 nucleotides) under uncultured Bordetella sp. Its description in RNAcentral is "partial 16S-23S ribosomal RNA intergenic spacer". It matches the Rfam family "Bacterial small subunit ribosomal RNA". The record is from RNAcentral. Lineage: Bacteria; Pseudomonadati; Pseudomonadota; Betaproteobacteria; Burkholderiales; Alcaligenaceae.